RNAcentral lists this ribosomal RNA (255 nucleotides) under Staphylococcus aureus. RNAcentral's name for it is "partial 16S ribosomal RNA". It matches the Rfam family "Bacterial small subunit ribosomal RNA", at positions 901 to 1155 of the family's 1533-position model. The record is from RNAcentral. Lineage: Bacteria; Bacillati; Bacillota; Bacilli; Caryophanales; Staphylococcaceae.
UCAAAGGAAUUGACGGGGACCCGCACAAGCGGUGGAGCAUGUGGUUUAAUUCGAAGCAACGCGAAGAACCUUACCAAAUCUUGACAUCCUUUGACAACUCUAGAGAUAGAGCCUUCCCCUUCGGGGGGCAAAGUGACAGGUGGUGCAUGGUUGUCGUCAGCUCGUGUCGUGAGAUGUUGGGUUAAGUCCCGCAACGAGCGCAACCCUUAAGCUUAGUUGCCAUCAUUAAGUUGGGCACUCUAAGUUGACUGCCGG